GGCCGGUUAGCUCAGUUGGUUAGAGCGUUGUGCUAAUAACGCAAAGGUCGCGGGGUUCGAUACCCGUACUGGCCA
Non-coding RNA from Coregonus clupeaformis (lake whitefish), 75 nucleotides. NCBI's taxonomy places the organism in Eukaryota, Metazoa, Chordata, Actinopteri, Salmoniformes, Salmonidae. The record is from the annotation of a RefSeq genome assembly.